AUUGAACGCUGGCGGAAUGCUUUACACAUGCAAGUCGAGCGGCAGCGCGGGGCAACCUGGCGGCGAGCGGCGAACGGGUGAGUAACACAUCGGAACGUAUCCAAUCGUGGGGAUAGCCGGCGAAAGCCGGAUUAAUACCGCAUACGACCUGAGGGUGAAAGUGGGGCGUCGCAAGACCUCACGCGACUGGAGCGGCCGAUGUCCGAUUAGCUAGUUGGUAGGGUAAAGGCCUACCAAGGCGACGAUCGGUAGCUGGUCUGAGAGGAUGAUCAGCCACACUGGGACUGAGACACGGCCC
Molecule: ribosomal RNA, 298 nt
Filed under: uncultured bacterium
Lineage: Bacteria
Description: partial 16S ribosomal RNA
Rfam family: Bacterial small subunit ribosomal RNA
Source: RNAcentral